UCUUAGAUGGCAUCUUUUCAUUGAGCGCAACCCUCGCCUUUAGUUGCCAGCAUUCAGUUGGGCACUUAAGGGGACUCCGGUGAUAAGCCGAGAGGAAGGUGGGGAUGACGUCAAGUCCUCAUGGCCCUUACGGGCUGGGUACACACGUGUACAAUGGUGGUGACAGUGGGCAGCGAGCACGCGAGUGUGAGCUAAUCUCCAAAAGCCAUCUCAGUUCGGAUUGCACUCUGCAACUCGAGUGCAUGAAGUUGGAAUCGCUAGUAAUCGCGGAUCCCAGCAGCCGGGGUAAUACGUUCCCGGGCCUUGUACACACCGCCCGUCACACCAUGGGAGUUGGUUUUACCCGAAGGCGCUGUGCUAACCGCAAGGAGGAAGGCGACCACGGUAGGGUCAGCG
RNAcentral lists this ribosomal RNA (396 nucleotides) under Ochrobactrum sp. APS2. RNAcentral describes it as "bacterial SSU rRNA". It matches the Rfam family "Bacterial small subunit ribosomal RNA", at positions 1072 to 1473 of the family's 1533-position model. Lineage: Bacteria; Pseudomonadati; Pseudomonadota; Alphaproteobacteria; Hyphomicrobiales; Brucellaceae. The record is from RNAcentral.